CGCCUCUUGCACUAUAUAAGAGGUCCAGCCUGCCCAGUGACUUUGUUCAACGGCCGCGGUAUCCUGACCGUGCGAAGGUAGCAUAAUCACUUGUCUUUUAAAUAAAGACUAGUAUGAAAGGCAUCACGAGAAUCCAGCUGUCUCCUAUUUCUAAUCAGUGAAACUAAUCUCCCAGUGAAAAAGCAGGGAUGACCACGCAAGACGAGAAGACCCUAUGGAGCUUUAAACUAAAUGACAUCCGCCCUCACCUAUUCAAUUUCCUGAAAAAUUACCACACGAGCGGACUGACCAUAAGUUUUUGGUUGGGGCGACCGCGGAGUAAAACCCACCCCCCGCAAUGAUACAGGCCUAGCUUUAAGUUGAGAGCUACAACUCAAAAAAUCAGCAUACUGACAUCAAUUGACCCAAUAUUUUGAUCAACGAACCAAGUUACCCUAGGGAUAACAGCGCAAUCCGCUUCGAGAGUACAUAUCGACAAGCAGGUUUACGACCUCGAUGUUGGAUCAGGGCAUCCCAGUGGUGCAGCCGCUACUAAUGGUUCGUUUGUUCAACGAUUAAAGCCCUA
RNAcentral lists this ribosomal RNA (565 nucleotides) under Tachiramantis douglasi. Its description in RNAcentral is "partial 16S ribosomal RNA". It matches the Rfam family "Bacterial large subunit ribosomal RNA", at positions 1817 to 2598 of the family's 2925-position model. Lineage: Eukaryota; Metazoa; Chordata; Amphibia; Anura; Strabomantidae. The record is from RNAcentral.